This 299-nucleotide signal recognition particle RNA is filed under the name Nomascus leucogenys (northern white-cheeked gibbon). Its description in RNAcentral is "Metazoan signal recognition particle RNA (ENSNLEG00000035075.1)". It matches the Rfam family "Metazoan signal recognition particle RNA". From Rfam's summary of the family: The signal recognition particle (SRP) is a universally conserved ribonucleoprotein. It is involved in the co-translational targeting of proteins to membranes. Lineage: Eukaryota; Metazoa; Chordata; Mammalia; Primates; Hylobatidae. The record is from Rfam by way of RNAcentral.
GCCAGGCACAGUGGCACAUGCCUGUGGGCCCAGUAACUCUGGAGGCUGAGAUGGGAUGAUCGCUUGAGCCCGGGAGUUCUCGCCUGUAGUGUACUGUACCCACUGGGUGUCCAGGCAAAGUCCAGCACCAAUAUGGUGACCUCCUGGGAGCGGGGGACCACCAGGGUGCCUAAGGAGGGGUGAACCAGGACAGGUCGGAAAUGAAGCAUGUCAAAAGUCCCGCGCUGAUCAGCAGUGGGAUUGCUCCUGUACACAGCCACUGCACUCCAGCCCGGGUAACACAGCGAGACCCGUCUCUU